AAGUCGUAACAAGGUUUCCGUAGGUGAACCUGCGGAAGGAUCAUUAAAAGAAUCUGCCUCACCCACAGAUAUCUUACCACGUGUGAACUGUCUAGCUUGUCACCCAAGAUGGACACCUCAGAGAUCUCGGUCUUUGGGGGGUCUGUCUUGGGGGUCAGCUUAUGCUACUGAUUGUGCCCCGAGAAUCUUUAAAAGACUAUAAAACUUUUAGCAAUGGAUCUCUAGGCUCCU
Molecule: unclassified non-coding RNA, 231 nt
Filed under: fungal sp.
Lineage: Eukaryota; Fungi
Description: partial internal transcribed spacer region
Rfam family: Eukaryotic small subunit ribosomal RNA (bases 1-46)
Source: RNAcentral